UUAUGCCGUUGGUGAACACACCAAACAGCAAGGUUUCCACACUUUUCAAGCAAGUGCAAGCUCCCAGAAUUUUAAAGAAACGAGUGAAAGGCAAGAGAGAAUAGAGAGGAAAAUUCAGAGAAGAAGAAGAAACUAAGUCCAGAAUUUAUAUAUCCCCUCAAAUACAACCAUGGAAAUACUUAUAGCAGCAAGAAUAUGCUCACAGCUGUCAAAACUAAAUAACAACCUCUCUCUAUAACAAGAAUUAUUCUCUAAAUGGCUAAGGCCGUUAGAAACCGAGUCCUCUGCUCAUAUAUGCUCAGUGUGUGUAAUCCUUGAACCAUUUGGGAGGCUUCCUUACGCGACUUGGCUUGAUGUUAUCUUGGGGUCGGUUUUGGAAAGCCUCACUUGAGUUUGCCUGGGCCUUUUCCUCGCUAUUGAUAGAGCUAGUUGGGCUUGUCUAACUGUAAUAUUGGGGUUGUAUCACCCUCCACUCCUUGAGGAAUCACCUUGUCCUCAAGGUGAAAAUUCGGGUACUGCUUAGUGAAUUCGGAAAGAGCUUCCCAUGUUGCAUUCUCAGGAGCACAAUCCUGCCACUGCACUAAAAUUUGGGAUUGUGGGCUGCCAUGAACCAACACUUGACGUUGAGCACAAAUAGCAAUGGGAACAGACAUAGGCUGGUUAUUGUAAGACUCGCUAGGUAAUGAGUGAACUUGUGAGGUAUCCUGACCAUGAAACGGCUUGAGAAGGGAGAUGUGAAAGACUGGAUGAAUCUUAGAAUCAUGAGGUAAAUCCAAGCGAUAGGCCACAGCGCCAAUACGCUCCAUUACUCGAAAAGGACCAUAGUAUCGCUUUGCUAGCUUGUUGGAUAAUCUGUUUGCAACUGAUAUUUGCCGAUAAGGCUGCAACUUAACCAAAACUUGAUCCCCGACCUGAAGCUCUAGCUCACGGCGAUGAGCAUUAGCCUUUUGCUGCAUUCUAUGUUGAGCUGCUCGCAAGUUGGUUUUCAAGGCUGUUAGGAGGGCAUCACGUUCCAGCAGCAAUUCAUCAAGUGCUUGGAUUGAAGUAGAGCUCCCGGUAUAUGAAGGAAUUACAGGUGGCUCACGACCAUACAAGGCCUUAAAAGGAGACAUUUGGAUGCUUGUAUGAAAGCUAGUGUUGUAAGAAAACUCAGCCCAGCCUAAAUAAUCAAACCAUAAUGUCGGUUUCGCUUGUGUGAAUACUCGCAAAUACUGCUCGAGUCCUCGAUUAACAACCUCCGACUGGCCAUCCGUUUGAGGAUGAUAUGCUGUACUAUGCUUCAAUGUGGUACCACUUAACUCAAAGAGUUUCUUCCAAAAGCUACUAAGAAAGAUAGAGUCACGAUCUGAAAUUAUUGUACGGGGAAAACCAUGGUGCUUAACAACCAUAUCAGUGAAUAAAACGGCUGUUUUGCUUGCUGUAAAGUGUGUGGGUAAAGCACCAAAAUGAGCUGAUUUUGUCAAUCGGUCAACAACGACUAAGAUAACAGUGAACCCAUGGGAAGAUGGUAAACCUGUGAUGAAGUCCAUGGUAACUUCUUCCCAAACUAGUGAAGGUAUAGGCAAGGGUUGAAGGAGUCCAGCUGGUGCCUGAGUAGAGUAUUUUGUUUGCUGACAUAAUAAACAAGAGGCAACAAAUAACGCCACAUCCUUGCGCAUAUUUGGCCAAUAAAAGAGAGUGGAUAGACGAACUAAUGUCCGCUUGACUCCCGCAUGACCUGCAACUGGUGUGGCAUGAAAUUCUUGUAAUAAAGAAGGCUUCAAAACAGAGUGAGAGCUGAUGAAGAAUCUGUUUUUGAACCGUAGGAUUCCAUCCGAGACAGAAUAAGGAUACAUUAAAGAACCAGUGGAAUAUUUCUGAUGGAGAGCUAAGAGAUCCGGUAAGGACUGAUUUUCCGCACGAAGAAUAGAGAGGAAUUCAGGAAUAGGACAGCUAGCGAGUAACAGAGUAGCAGUAGAAUGGCCAUAUAAUAUAGGGACAUCAACUUCAUGUACCCAGGAUAAGGCAUCAGCUGCACUAUUAGUUCGACCCGGCUUAUAUUCAACCCUGAAAUGAUACCCCAAUAAUUUACGAACAUAAAAUUGUUGCUCUGGAGUUUGGAUAACCUGCUGAAGGAGCUCUCGAAUACUUUUCUGGUCAGUUCGGAUAAUAAAGAAAUGGCCUAACAAGUAUUGUCUCCACUUAUGUACUGCUUCGGCAAUGGCAUGAAGUUCUUUGAUAUAAGUAGAAGCGACAAGCAUGCGAGGACCCAAUUUUCGGCUAAAAUAAGCAAUAGGAUGAUCAGCUUGCAUCAGUACGGCUCCAAUACCAACAUUCGAGGCAUCCGUUUCAAUAACAAAAUCCAAUUGAAAAUCUGGCAAGCGAAGGACUGGUGCUGCACUCAUAGCUUGUUUUAAGGCAGCGAAGGCCGUGUCAGCUGCGGAGGACCAAUGGAAACCAUCCUUCCGUAAUAAAUCUGUGAGAGGGGCAGCAAUGGAAGCAUAUCCUUUAAUAAAGCGACGAUAGUAGCCUGUGAGACCCAAGAAUCCUCGCAAUUGUUUUGUCGUAGACGGCGUAGGCCAAUUAGACAUGACCACCAACUUGCGAGGAUCAGCCUUAACUCCAGAAGAGGAAACAAUAUGGCCGAGAUAUUCAAUGUUAUCUUGGCAAAAAAAAACACUUUGAGAGCUUCACAAAAAAAUGAUUAGUAUGAAGACAAUCAAAUACUCUAUGUAAAUGCUCAAAAUGGUCUUCUAGAGAAGUGCUGUACACUAAGAUAUCGUCAAAGAAAACGAUCACAAACUUACGGAGAUAAGGAGCAAAGAGCCUAUUCAUUGUUGCUUGAAAGGUGGAAGGGGCAUUAGAGAGUCCAAAAGGCAUGACAAGGAACUCAAAAUGCCCAUCAUGAGUCCGAAAAGCUGUUUUAUAAAUAUCUCUAUCACAUACUCGUAUUUGAUGGUACCCCGCUCGCAAAUCUAGCUUACUGAAAAUACAAGCACCACCAAGCUCGUCUAAUAACUCAUCAAUAGUUGGUAUCGGAAAUUUGUCUUUAAUUGUUACUGCGUUCAAGGCUCGGUAAUCUACACAAAAACGAUAGGAGCCAUCUUUCUUUUUAACCAGCAACACAGGUGAAGAGAAUGGGCUCUGACUUGGGCGAAUAAUGCCUUGAUCAAUCAUUUCUGUAAUUAGUCUCUCCAUUUCGGCCUUUUGGAAGUGAGGAUAACGGUAUGGGCGAACAUUGACAGGUUUAGUAUUUGGGAGGAGAUGAAUGUGAUGGUCAAUAAGUCUAUGAGGAGGUAGAGAAGAUGGAGUGUGAAAUAAUUGCUCAUAUUGAUGAAGAAGGGCAAGUACAUGGGAAGGCAAAUCGGGUGGGAAGUCAAACUUAGUAGUAGUGGUUGGAACAGAGAGGGUAUCCUGCGCGUCUGUAGUAGUAUGCAACUGGAAAAAUUCAAAGAGGCCGUGGAUUUGAUUAUGGGACAUGAGGGCUUGUAAUUGAUGAAAAGAAAUCGGUCGUGGAGACAAUGAGAGAUCACCUCGCAGGAAGACAGGAGAGCCAUUAUAGAAAAAUUCCAUUGACAAUGCCGCAUAGUCAUGAGAGACUUUGCCAAGUAGCUGUAACCAUUGAAUUCCGAGGACAAUAUCCGGUCCCUCAAUAGGAAGAACAUAGAGGUCGAUGUAGAAAACAUGGCCUUGCAUAGAUAAGGCGACUUGGGAACAAACAUAUCGACAAACUAAAGAAUCACCAUUACCGAUAUAUACCCGGAAUGUGGUAGUGUCUUGUACUGCUAACCCCAAAACUUCAGCCACAGCGGGUUUAAUAAAAUUAUGAGUGCUACCACUAUCGAUAAGUACUUGCACGGGCUGUUGAUUAAUUUCACCAAGGAGUCGUAGAGAGCGAGGAGUAUUUUGGCCCGCUAAGGCAUUUAAACUGGAGAUAUCACCAGCUAUAAUAGUUUCCUCAACAACAUCUGAGAUCUCAGAAUUAAUUGGUGGACCCAUCGCCUCGUCAACAUCCUCUGUUCCUAAAAGAAGCAGAAACUUACUACGGCAUCUAUGAGAGUUGCUCCACUUCUGGUCGCAAUUGUAGCAGAGCCCUUUCUCCCUUUUUUCACGAAGUUCUUGAGGAGAAAGACGCUUAAUAGGGAGAGAUGGCGUUGGUAAAAGUGGGGGUAAAGUGGACGGGGCAGGUUGAGGUGGGUUGAGGGCAGGGGCACUUGCAGGACUGUGAUUGGUUGUAGUAGGGUGAAAGGAUGAUGUGGUGGUUUUGUGGGUCCACUUAGACCAAGGUCUGGACGUAACUUUACUCUCAUCUCCACGUGCUUCAAACAUACGAGCCAGUGCAAAUGCCUCCAUCAACGAGGAAGGUCGUGACAGCAACAGCUCGCGACGAAUAUCCACUCGCAACCCCGUGAUAAAAAAUGAGAUAAGAAGAGGCUCGGAAAUACCAGUGACUCUAUUCAUGAGGUCCUCAAACUCAGUUUGAAAUUCUGCCACACUUGAUUUCUGAGUAAGUUUGGAUAGAUUGCCUUGGUGGUCCUCGUACAGGGAAGCUCCGAAAUGAAACUUCAGAUUUUGAAGAAAAUCCUUCCAACUGGUAAGAAGAUCAUUCGCCUUCAUCCAUUGGUACCAAGCCGAAGCGCGACCUUCCAAAUGAAAAGACACGAUGCGGAGACGAAGAGCGUCGGAUGUGCCAUGGAAAUCGAAAUACUCAUUGAUGCGAAAAGCCCAACCGUUUGGGUCAGUUCCAUCAAAUUUUGGGACCUCGAGUUUCAUUGUUCGCAAGAGAGGAUUGGAGUCAUGGGUGCCCGAUGAACCAUCAGAUAUCUGUGAAAACAGGGGUGGAUUCGAAGGUCCAGUUGUUGGACCCGAAGGUAACCCCUUGAUCUGAGAACGCAAGUCCUCCAAGCGAGAAUCCACGGUAAGCAUGUAUUGUUGCAGCGUGUGAUGAACUGCGACCGUUUGGCUAUCAAGUUUUGUUUGUAAAGCUUUAAUGGCAUCUAGAAUCUCCGAAUCAGCCAUGAUGAGUAAAUAGCAAUGAAAGCACCAAUGUUAUGCCGUUGGUGAACACACCAAACAGCAAGGUUUCCACACUUUUCAAGCAAGUGCAAGCUCCCAGAAUUUUAAAGAAACGAGUGAAAGGCAAGAGAGAAUAGAGAGGAAAAUUCAGAGAAGAAGAAGAAACUAAGUCCAGAAUUUAUAUAUCCCCUCAAAUACAACCAUGGAAAUACUUAUAGCAGCAAGAAUAUGCUCACAGCUGUCAAAACUAAAUAACAACCUCUCUCUAUAACAAGAAUUAUUCUCUAAAUGGCUAAGGCCGUUAGAAACCGAGUCCUCUGCUCAUAUAUGCUCAGUGUGUGUAAUCCUUGAACCAUUUGGGAGGCUUCCUUACG
This 5369-nucleotide long non-coding RNA is filed under the name Citrus maxima (pomelo). Its description in RNAcentral is "long non-coding RNA (CMAX_LNC002155)". Lineage: Eukaryota; Viridiplantae; Streptophyta; Magnoliopsida; Sapindales; Rutaceae. The record is from RNAcentral.